Molecule: non-coding RNA, 23 nt
Filed under: Arabidopsis thaliana (thale cress)
Lineage: Eukaryota; Viridiplantae; Streptophyta; Magnoliopsida; Brassicales; Brassicaceae
Source: RNAcentral
GAAUCAGUUCAAUCGACGGUUGC